Non-coding RNA from Solanum tuberosum (potato), 159 nucleotides. The record is from Rfam. NCBI's taxonomy places the organism in Eukaryota, Viridiplantae, Streptophyta, Magnoliopsida, Solanales, Solanaceae.
AGACUGACUUUGCUUUUCAAGCAUUAGAUUUUGAUUAUUUCAAAAAUGGCAAGGUAUGGUUGGACCAAUAACAAGUUUUUAGUAUAUAAUCGCAUUUUGAUAGGAAUCUGUGGAUGGAUCUUCAAUUCCUCCAUGGAGCCGUUUUGUGCGAUUACAUAG